Molecule: ribosomal RNA, 913 nt
Filed under: uncultured archaeon
Lineage: Archaea
Description: bacterial SSU rRNA
Rfam family: Archaeal small subunit ribosomal RNA
Source: RNAcentral
UCCGGUUGAUCCCGCCGGACCUGACUGCUAUCGGAUUGAUACUAAGCCAUGCGAGUCUUUGUAGUAAUACAAGGCAGACGGCUCAGUAACACGUAGUCAACCUACCCUAUGGACGAGAAUAAUCUCGGGAAACUGAGGAUAAUACUCGAUAGAUCAUAAUGCCUGGAAUGGUUUAUGGUUAAAAUGAUUCGUCGCCAUAGGAUGGGACUGCGGCCUAUCAGCUUGUUGGUGAGGUAAUGGCCCACCAAGGCGAUUACAGGUACGGGCUCUGAGAGGAGAAGCCCGGAGAUGGGUACUGAGACAAGGACCCAGGCCCUAUGGGGCGCAGCAGGCGAGAAAACUUUGCAAUGUGCGAAAGCACGACAAGGUUAAUCCGAGUGAUUUCUGCUAAAGAAAUCUUUUACCAGUCAUAAAACCACUGGUGAAUAAGGGGUGGGCAAGUUCUGGUGUCAGCCGCCGCGGUAAAACCAGCACCUCAAGUGGUCAGGAUGAUUAUUGGGCCUAAAGCAUCCGUAGCCUGCUUUGUUAGUUUUCGGUUAAAUCCAUGUGCUCAACGCAUGGGCCGCCGAAAAUACUGCACAGCUAGGGAGUGGGAGAGGUAGACGGUACUCGGUAGGAAGGGGUAAAAUCCUUUGAUCUAUCGAUGACCACCUGUGGCGAAGGCGGUCUACCAGAACACGUUCGACGGUGAGGGAUGAAAGCUGGGGGAGCAAACCGGAUUAGAUACCCGGGUAGUCCCAGCUGUAAACGAUGCAGACUCGAUGAUGCAUUGGCAUAUAGCCAGUGCAGUGUCGCAGGGAAGCCGUUAAGUCUGCCGCCUGGGAAGUACGUACGCAAGUAUGAAACUUAAAGGAAUUGGCGGGGGAGCACCACAAGGGGUGAAGCCUGCGGUUCAAUUGGAUUCAACGCCGGA